CACCCUAUAAAUAAGAAAGAAGAGAAAAAAAUUAAAAGAAUAAAAAACCCUAACCCUUACUCAGCCCUUUUUUUUCCUCCCUCAUAAUAAUUCUCUCUCUCCUCCCGUCUCCUCCCUCGACCCUCUUCUCCUUUCUUUUUCCCUGAACCGUCGGCAACCUCGAGUAUGCUGCAGGGUUGUGUGAAAACGAAGGCGUCGAGCGUGCGAAGGCGGCGAGUCGUGCGAAGUGGUGCGAGGGCGUGCAAAGUGGUGCGAGUUGUGCGAGUUGUGCGAGUUGUGCGAAAGGGUGCGAAGUGGUCGAGGGCAGUGCUGGGCAAGUGUACAACGCUGUGUGUGCGAGUGUGCGGUGGUUCGAAGGUUCGAGCGUCAUUGUUUUUGUACGAGCGUCGUUGUUUUUGUAAGCUGAUGUCCCAAUUUCAUAAGCGAAUCGUUUCAAUAUUCAGCGAUGAUUCUUCGUUACAAGACUAGGUGUGCUGGUGUCGCUGCAUGAGAUUGAGCAUACGGGGGAUAUUCUCUAGUCUUUAAACUUUAAAACGUUUUGGUUAAAGAUUAUAGAACUAUUAUGAUUUACUUAGUUUGUGGUUUAAAUAAA
Beta vulgaris subsp. vulgaris (sugar beet) is the source of this 592-nucleotide long non-coding RNA. RefSeq lists it as uncharacterized. The transcript has 3 exons. The record is from RefSeq and is a predicted model, not a curated record. NCBI's taxonomy places the organism in Eukaryota, Viridiplantae, Streptophyta, Magnoliopsida, Caryophyllales, Amaranthaceae.